UAAAAGAAAAGGUCUCAGAUGCCCCC
RNAcentral lists this non-coding RNA (26 nucleotides) under Mus musculus (house mouse). Lineage: Eukaryota; Metazoa; Chordata; Mammalia; Rodentia; Muridae. The record is from RNAcentral.